This 305-nucleotide ribosomal RNA is filed under the name uncultured bacterium. Its description in RNAcentral is "bacterial SSU rRNA". It matches the Rfam family "Bacterial small subunit ribosomal RNA", at positions 30 to 333 of the family's 1533-position model. The record is from RNAcentral.
AUUGAACGCUGGCGGCAGGCCUAACACAUGCAAGUCGAGCGGAUGAGUGGAGCUUGCUCCAUGAUUCAGCGGCGGACGGGUGAGUAAUGCCUAGGAAUCUGCCUGGUAGUGGGGGGACAACGUUUCGAAAGGAACGCUAAUACCGCAUACGUCCUACGGGAGAAAGCAGGGGACCUUCGGGCCUUGCGCUAUCAGAUGAGCCUAGGUCGGAUUAGCUAGUAGGUGAGGUAAUGGCUCGACCUAGGCGACGAUCCGUAACUGGUCUGAGAGGAUGAUCAGUCACACUGGAACUGAGACACGGUCCA